Molecule: unclassified non-coding RNA, 456 nt
Filed under: uncultured Mortierella
Lineage: Eukaryota; Fungi; Mortierellomycota; Mortierellomycetes; Mortierellales; Mortierellaceae
Description: sequence contains ITS2
Rfam family: 5.8S ribosomal RNA (bases 1-154)
Source: RNAcentral
AACUUUUAGCAAUGGAUCUCUUGGCUCUCGCAUCGAUGAAUAACGCAGCGAAGUGCGAUACGUAAUGUGAAUUGCAGAAUUCAGUGAAUCAUCGAAUCUUUGAACGCAUAUUGCGCUCUCUGGUAUUCCGGAGAGCAUGCUUGUUUGAGUAUCAGUAAACACCUCAAAUCCCUCUACUUGUUGGAGGAAUUUGGACUUGAGCAAUCCCAACUUUUCGAAAGAGAAGGCGGGUUGCUUGAAAUGCAGGUGCAGCUAGAGUCUUUCUUCUGAGCUAUAAGCAUACUUAUUUAAUCCCGUCAAACGGAUUAUUACUUUUGCUGCAGCUAACAUAAAGGUUGAAGAGUCGCUAUGGCUGACUGAUGCAGGAUUUACCAUGUCGCGCAAGCGAUCUGUAAACUCGAUCUCAAAUCAAGCAAGACUGCCCGCUAAAGUUAAGCAUAUCAAUAAGCGGAGGCU